This 73-nucleotide transfer RNA is filed under the name Canis lupus familiaris (dog). It matches the Rfam family "tRNA". From Rfam's summary of the family: Transfer RNA (tRNA) molecules are approximately 80 nucleotides in length. Their secondary structure includes four short double-helical elements and three loops (D, anti-codon, and T loops). The record is from Rfam by way of RNAcentral. Lineage: Eukaryota; Metazoa; Chordata; Mammalia; Carnivora; Canidae. RNAcentral also lists the same sequence under 2 other names.
GCCUAGCUGGCUUAGUCAGGAGAGCAUGUGACUCUUAAACCCAGGGUUGUGAGUUCAAGCCCCACAUUGGGCA